UACGAAGGGGGCUAGCGUUGCUCGGAAUCACUGGGCGUAAAGGGUGCGUAGGCGGGUCUUUAAGUCAGGGGUGAAAUCCUGGAGCUCAACUCCAGAACUGCCUUUGAUACUGAAGAUCUUGAGUUCGGGAGAGGUGAGUGGAACUGCGAGUGUAGAGGUGAAAUUCGUAGAUAUUCGCAAGAACACCAGUGGCGAAGGCGGCUCACUGGCCCGAUACUGACGCUGAGGUGCGAAAGUGCGGGGAGCAAACAGG
RNAcentral lists this ribosomal RNA (253 nucleotides) under uncultured bacterium. RNAcentral's name for it is "partial 16S ribosomal RNA". It matches the Rfam family "Bacterial small subunit ribosomal RNA", at positions 524 to 776 of the family's 1533-position model. The record is from RNAcentral.